This 247-nucleotide long non-coding RNA is filed under the name Gossypium raimondii (Peruvian cotton). RNAcentral describes it as "long non-coding RNA (GRAI_LNC005411)". The record is from RNAcentral. Lineage: Eukaryota; Viridiplantae; Streptophyta; Magnoliopsida; Malvales; Malvaceae.
GGAUUUAGAUUAGUGGUGUGUUUACUUGUAGUUAGUAUAAAAAUAGCGGUGAGGUGAGAUUAGACACUAUAACGUGAGAUAAAAAUUAAGCUAAAUACACAGUUUUAACGCACUGGAGACUUUUUUUUUUUUUUUCUACCUGCUCUUUGCUCGAGCUAGAAGUUUCAACAUCAAAUAAUUAAUAGAUCAUUUUACAUUUAUAUCCUGUUUUGUCUUCUUGCCAUUCUUUUCAUUUUUAUUGUUUUUU